AGAGUUUGAUCAUGGCUCAGAACGAACGCUGGCGGCAUGCCUAACACAUGCAAGUCGAACGGGAUCCAUCCUUCGGGAUGGUGAGAGUGGCGGACGGGUGAGUAACGCGUGGGAACCUGCCCAGUGGUGGGGGAUAACUGCGGGAAACUGCAGCUAAUACCGCAUGAGCCCGAGAGGGGAAAGAUUUAUCGCCAUUGGAGGGGCCCGCGUUCGAUUAGGUAGUUGGUGAGGUAAUGGCUCACCAAGCCGACGAUCGAUAGCUGGUCUGAGAGGAUGAUCAGCCACACUGGGACUGAGAUACGGCCCAGACUCCUACGGGAGGCAGCAGUGGGGAAUAUUGGACAAUGGGGGCAACCCUGAUCCAGCAAUGCCGCGUGAGUGAUGAAGGCCUUCGGGUUGUAAAGCUCUUUUGCCAGGGACGAUGAUGACGGUACCUGGAGAAUAAGCCCCGGCUAACUUCGUGCCAGCAGCCGCGGUAAUACGAAGGGGGCAAGCGUUGUUCGGAAUUACUGGGCGUAAAGGGCGCGUAGGCGGCUUAUCAAGUCAGGCGUGAAAUUCCCGGGCUCAACCUGGGGGCUGCGCUUGAUACUGAUGAGCUUGAAUGCGGGAGAGGAUAGUGGAAUUCCCAGUGUAGAGGUGAAAUUCGUAGAUAUUGGGAAGAACACCAGUGGCGAAGGCGGCUAUCUGGCCCGUAAUUGACGCUGAGGCGCGAAAGCGUGGGGAGCAAACAGGAUUAGAUACCCCGGUAGUCC
Molecule: ribosomal RNA, 752 nt
Filed under: uncultured Rhodospirillales bacterium
Lineage: Bacteria; Pseudomonadati; Pseudomonadota; Alphaproteobacteria; Rhodospirillales
Description: bacterial SSU rRNA
Rfam family: Bacterial small subunit ribosomal RNA
Source: RNAcentral